Non-coding RNA from Cricetulus griseus (Chinese hamster), 405 nucleotides. The record is from RefSeq and is a predicted model, not a curated record. NCBI's taxonomy places the organism in Eukaryota, Metazoa, Chordata, Mammalia, Rodentia, Cricetidae.
UACACUCCAGUGUCUACUCUUAUUGCAGGAUGUUGUCGAGUUACUUGUUAUGAAAUCUCAGAAAAAAAGCCUGGACAUCCACUCCAACCCAUUUCUAUGUGACACAAUUUUGCCUAAGAGGACUUAAGGGCAUGGGAGUGUCAUGCAGCAACUCGUGAGAGCUUUUGUCAAUCCUGUCUUCUCUGAAUGAUGCUUGGCGAAGCUUGUCUUUAGCUAUAAGACAGAGCUAAUGGGAAAGGAAGCUGAGUGACCAACUCCCUCGAGAGACUUUUAUGCAAAAGAGGGAGUCUCAAUGGAGAAACAAACUACUCUUGAAGGCUCCAUAUCAGCUUACAAAACCAUGCCCCAUGUGUAUUGAAGACAAAAGAAAGACUUUGGGAAUGGGAAUUCAGCAAUGAAUUGUAG